Molecule: small nuclear RNA, 104 nt
Organism: Cynocephalus volans (Philippine flying lemur)
Lineage: Eukaryota; Metazoa; Chordata; Mammalia; Dermoptera; Cynocephalidae
Source: RefSeq, a predicted model, not a curated record
GUGCUCAUUUUGGCAGCACAUAUGCUAAAAUUGGAACAGCAGAGAACAUUAGUAAAAUCCUGUGCAAGGAUGACACACAAAUUUGUGAAGCAUUCAAUAUAUUU